This 71-nucleotide transfer RNA is filed under the name Rattus norvegicus (Norway rat). It matches the Rfam family "tRNA". From Rfam's summary of the family: Transfer RNA (tRNA) molecules are approximately 80 nucleotides in length. Their secondary structure includes four short double-helical elements and three loops (D, anti-codon, and T loops). Further hydrogen bonds mediate the characteristic L-shaped molecular structure. tRNAs have two regions of fundamental functional importance: the anti-codon, which is responsible for specific mRNA codon recognition, and the 3' end, to which the tRNAs corresponding amino acid is attached (by aminoacyl-tRNA synthetases). tRNAs cope with the degeneracy of the genetic code in two manners: having more than one tRNA (with a specific anti-codon) for a particular amino acid; and 'wobble' base-pairing, i.e. permitting non-standard base-pairing at the 3rd anti-codon position. Lineage: Eukaryota; Metazoa; Chordata; Mammalia; Rodentia; Muridae. The record is from Rfam by way of RNAcentral.
UGGAACAUAGCUCAUUGGUAGAGUAUUUGCCUUUCAUGCUUAAAGCCUGGGUUCAAUUCCCAGUACUUAAA